GUACACUCCUACGGGAGGCAGCAGUGGGGAAUAUUGGACAAUGGGCGCAAGCCUGAUCCAGCCAUGCCGCGUGAGUGAUGAAGGCCCUAGGGUUGUAAAGCUCUUUCACCGGAGAAGAUAAUGACGGUAUCCGGAGAAGAAGCCCCGGCUAACUUCGUGCCAGCAGCCGCGGUAAUACGAAGGGGGCUAGCGUUGUUCGGAAUUACUGGGCGUAAAGCGCACGUAGGCGGAUCGAUCAGUCAGGGGUGAAAUCCCAGGGCUCAACCCUGGAACUGCCUUUGAUACUGUCGAUCUGGAGUAUGGAAGAGGUGAGUGGAAUUCCGAGUGUAGAGGUGAAAUUCGUAGAUAUUCGGAGGAACACCAGUGGCGAAGGCGGCUCACUGGUCCAUUACUGACGCUGAGGUGCGAAAGCGUGGGGAGCAAACAGGAUUAGAAACCCGAGUAGUCCCAUG
RNAcentral lists this ribosomal RNA (452 nucleotides) under uncultured organism. Its description in RNAcentral is "partial 16S ribosomal RNA". It matches the Rfam family "Bacterial small subunit ribosomal RNA", at positions 331 to 799 of the family's 1533-position model. The record is from RNAcentral.